AGGCUUGCUAACAAGGCAACAAUUGUGGACUUUGGGAGUAACCGAAUACUGCUGUUCCAGAUUUACUUGCAGUAGUAAAAACGUGACAUUCUCAAUACCUUCAGCAGCUCUUUACAGCCACACUUGGCUUUAUUCAUCCAUUGCUACAUUUCAUUGUAUAUUUGAUAUUGUAUCACGGAACUUUGAGCGUUACAUUUCAUUAUUUUGCAACUUCAAGUACCUUGGGAGAAUGCUUUUCAAGUAAUUCCAAGUGUACCAUUCAACAUUGUAAUAGUUUAGUUUCCACCUUUUAGUGUGAAAGUGUGUCAAGGGGCUCCAAGUGUCACUUGCACUUUCACAUAGGGCCGUUUUUCAUUUUCUUUCACUGUUAAUUUACUUUGCUUGAUUGUCUUUUAUAUUUUAAUUCUCCGAGAUAUUUAGGAGCGUGUUUCAUAUAGUAAACCUACCUUCGUUUAGUUUUUAGGUGCAUUUUAUAGUGCAUUUUUGAUUGUCUUUUAUGUUUUAAUUCUCCGUAAUAUUUAGGAGCGUGUUUCAUAUACUAAACCUUAAAAUUCUAAAAUCCUAAAACCUAAAUCCUAACACUUUAAACCAUAAACCUAAACCCUAAACUCCUAAAACCGUAAAUCCUAAACCCUAAAAAAACCCUAAACUCUAAAACCUAAAACACUAAACUCCUAAAACCCUAAACCUUAAAACCUAACACCCUAAACCCUAAAAAACCCUAAACUUUAAAACUGUAAACCCUAAAACCCUAAACCCUAAAACCCUAAAAUCUAAACCUUAAAAUCUAAACCCUACAACCUAAACCCUAACACCUUAAACCCUAAAAACCUAAACCCUAAAAUCCUAAAACCGUAAACCCUAUAACUUUAAACCCUAAAACUUAAAAUCCAAAACCCAAAACCCUAAAACCCUAAACCCUAAAACCCUAAACCCUACAACCUAAACCCUAACACCUUAAAACCCUAAACCCUAAAACCGUAAACCCUAAAACCGUAAACCCUAAAACCCAAAACCCCUAAACCCCUAAAACCUUAAACUCCUAAAUCCCUAAACCCUAAAACCUAAAACCUAUCCUAAAACCCUAAAACCUAAACCCUAACACCUUAAACCCUAAAACCCUAAACCUAAACUCUAAAAUCCUGAAACCCUAAAAUCCUGAAACC
Molecule: long non-coding RNA, 1166 nt
Filed under: Vigna radiata
Lineage: Eukaryota; Viridiplantae; Streptophyta; Magnoliopsida; Fabales; Fabaceae
Description: long non-coding RNA (VRAD_LNC017853)
Source: RNAcentral